Molecule: long non-coding RNA, 279 nt
Organism: Populus nigra (black poplar)
Lineage: Eukaryota; Viridiplantae; Streptophyta; Magnoliopsida; Malpighiales; Salicaceae
Exons: 2
Source: RefSeq, a predicted model, not a curated record
GGUUGGCGUUGGGUUCCAUUUCUUCUUUCUGGCCUGACGAUUAAUGAUUGUAACCUAAAAAAAUUGAAGAUUAAACUGGACGAAACUCGCAAUUUCAAGAGAGAGAGAGGCAAUAGAAACCAGAGGAAUUUGCAGGGAAAAGAUGUAAAAGAAAGAGGAUUCGUGUGGUGUUUUUAAGCUUUAGAGCAUGAGUGCGUAAGGAGCAAGGACUGUGCUUCACCCCAGGGGAAAGCAUGUCAAGGAGCCAGAGAGGGUAGGAGGAGAUGGUGAUGAGAUUAA